AUUGAACGCUGGCGGAAUGCUUUACACAUGCAAGUCGAACGGCAGCACGGACUUCGGUCUGGUGGCGAGUGGCGAACGGGUGAGUAAUGUAUCGGAACGUGCCCAGUCGUGGGGGAUAACGUAGUGAAAAUUACGCCAAUACCGCAUACGAUCUAUGGAUGAAAGUGGGGGAUCGCAAGACCUCGCGCGAUUGCAGCGGCCGAGAUCAGAUUAGGUAGUUGGUGGGGUAAAGGCCCACCAAGGCAGCGAUCUGUAGCUGGUCUGCCAGGACGACCAGCCACACUGGAACUGAGACACGGUCCAGACUCCUACGGGAGGCAGCAGUGGGGAAUUCUGGACAAUGGGCGAAAGCCUGAUCCAGCCAUUCCGCGUGCAGGAUGAAGGCCCUCGGGUUGUAACCUGCUUUUGUACAGAACGAAAAGGUUUCUACUAAUACUAGGAGCUCAUGACGGUACUGUAAGAAUAAGCACCGGCUAACUACGUGCCAGCCGCCGCGGUAA
This 500-nucleotide ribosomal RNA is filed under the name uncultured bacterium. RNAcentral's name for it is "partial 16S ribosomal RNA". It matches the Rfam family "Bacterial small subunit ribosomal RNA", at positions 30 to 523 of the family's 1533-position model. The record is from RNAcentral.